AUAAGGAUGUAGUCUCGUUUUUGA
Molecule: non-coding RNA, 24 nt
Filed under: Arabidopsis thaliana (thale cress)
Lineage: Eukaryota; Viridiplantae; Streptophyta; Magnoliopsida; Brassicales; Brassicaceae
Source: RNAcentral